This 397-nucleotide ribosomal RNA is filed under the name uncultured bacterium. RNAcentral describes it as "bacterial SSU rRNA". It matches the Rfam family "Bacterial small subunit ribosomal RNA", at positions 370 to 772 of the family's 1533-position model. The record is from RNAcentral.
AAUGGACGCAAGUCUGAUCCAGCGACGCCGCGUGAAGGACGAAGGUUUUCGGAUUGUAAACUUCUUUUGCAGGGGGCGAAAGCCAGCAAUGGUUUGACAGUACUCUGCGAAUAAGCCACGGCUAACUACGUGCCAGCAGCCGCGGUAAUACGUAGGUGGCGAGCGUUACUCGGAAUUACUAGGCGUAAAGCGUGUGUAGGCGGGAACUUAAGUCAGUUGUGAAAUCCCGUGGCUCAACCACGGCGGGACGGCUGAUACUGGGUUUCUUGAAUUGGGUAGAGGAAAUUGGAAUUCCGAGUGUAGCGGUGGAAUGCGUAGAUAUUCGGAAGAACGCCAAAGGCGAAAGCAGAUUUCUGGGCCUUAAUUGACGCUGAGACACGAAAGCUAGGGGAGCGAA